AAUCUUGCGCAAUGGGCGAAAGCCUGACGCAGCCAUGCCGCGUGAAUGAUGAAGGUCUUCGGAUUGUAAAAUUCUUUCACCGGGGACGAUAAUGACGGUACCCGGAGAAGAAGCCCCGGCUACCUUCGUGCCAGCAGCCGGGGUAAUACGAAGGGGGCUAGCGUUGAUAGGAAUUACUGGGCGUAAAGGGCGCGUAGGGGGACAUUUAAGCCAGGGGGGAAAUCCCAGGGCUAAAAUCUGGAACUGACUUUGAUACUGGGUGGCUUGAGUGUGAGAGAGGUAUGGGGAAAUCCGAGUGUAGAGGUGAAAUUCGUAGAUAUUCGGAAGAAAACCAGUGGCGAAGGCGACAUACUGGCUCAUUACUGACGCUGAGGCGCGAAAGCGUGGGGAGCAAACAG
Molecule: ribosomal RNA, 398 nt
Filed under: uncultured bacterium
Lineage: Bacteria
Description: partial 16S ribosomal RNA
Rfam family: Bacterial small subunit ribosomal RNA
Source: RNAcentral